This 3798-nucleotide long non-coding RNA is filed under the name Homo sapiens (human). RNAcentral's name for it is "HSALNT0082534". The record is from RNAcentral. Lineage: Eukaryota; Metazoa; Chordata; Mammalia; Primates; Hominidae.
GUAGUUCACUUCACAUGAAUAGAGCUUGAAGGACUGGAAGCUACUCUGGCAGACAACGGUUCGCCACAGAGAGCCCACCGAGACGAAAGGGCAUCAGGAGCCGUGUCUCCUGGACGUUGCCUUCCACUCCCUGUGCUUCCUCUCAUCCAGCUUUUCCUCCCUGCUUCAUGUCUCCUCAGUCGUUUCUAUUCCUCUAUCUGCCGCCAAAGGGCGGAGAUGCCUUCAGGUCGUGUGUAGAAACCCCAGACGGGUUUAGUGAACCUGAGAGCACAGGGUGUGCCUGAAUCCUGAGGAGAUUCCAGGAAAGCCGCAGCGCCCCGUGACCCCGCGCGGCCCAGGAAUCAGCGAGCGGAGCGUCUUUUUCGUUUGUCUCAGCUGUCAGGUGCCAGAUUGACAGAGACCCGUACCUGACGGCCUGAGAACCCUAGAGGGCCAGGGAAGUCGUCACGUACUUCAGCUUGCCAGAGAGGGAUGGAGAAGCCGCUGACGGAGGCCUGUGACCAUCAAGCGGGCGUGUGGCCAGAAGAGAGGGUUCCUCUGGGAACUGGCAGCUGAGACCAAACAAAAUGGCGGACACCCCCACAGACGCCCCUGUGCGGAGGAGAGGAUCGCCAAGGGUGAGAAACCUCCCCCCACCUCACACACGUGGCGCCAGGAGGGCCGCCAAGAAUCUGACUUGACUCUGGACAAAGAGGGUGCUUAAAUGGCCAGAGGAGACUCUGAAUAUUAUUAAUAUGUGAGUUUUCACUACUUGAUGGAAAAAUCCACAAAAAAAAUGACAUUCAGCUAUAAAAGAAGUAAAUUGGCCACUUCACCCAUGAAAUUUGUCUGGGAAUCUUUAUCUGCUCUACCCGCAAAGGCUCUGCUUCCGCCUUGUCUCUCUCUCCCUCUCCCUCCCUCCCUCCCUCCCUCUCUCUCUCUCUCUCUCUCUCUCUCUCUCACCCCACUCCACCAAAGCAGAAGGGAAAUACAGACAGUCGGAUGAGAUGCAUAGAAGAUCAUCCUGUCAAAUAAAGGCAAUUUUCAGCGAUGGAAAAAGGAAUAUUUUUAUGAUCAUUAUUGUAGGUAUGUUUUUGUAUCGUAUUCAAAAGCGUAUCUUGGCUACAAUAAUUAAUGUAACAUCAUUAGGAAAAGAAAACCUCAACAUGCCUCCUCUUCCUUUCUUUACUCACAGAAUAAUGGAAUAAAAAUGUCUGUGAAUAAACUCAUUCUUUUGCCAAUGAUAAGAAAGCAUUUUCUUAAGAAAAAUUAGAAUCCUCUAUUUUCCAUUCCUGCUAAUUAUUUGAAUUUAACUCUUGGGUCUGCUAUCUAAACAAGUCUACUAGGAUGUACUGAAGACAAAUAUAAGGAUUUAACAAAAAAUAUCAUUAGUUAAUCUAAUUCCAAAGAGCAGAACUUUCUUGGAGAAAUUAACAGUGAAAGGAAUAUUCUAUCAAAGGUAUUUUUAAUUUUAAAAUGCUGAAGUCAAAAGACUGAUUAUCUCAUAAAAGGAAAUAAAGAAUCAUCAGUAGCUUUACUGACUGCUUUUUCUUAAGUUUUAUUAUUGUUUCAAAGAACUUUUUUACACGUUAUCAGAAUUUGAGAGAAAAUAUUGAUUUAUUAUCUUGACCCAUUCAAGCUAAAAAUAUAUUACUGAAACUAUUUUAAUCAAAUGUUUGCAAAUUAUAUAUUGCUUGAAUUUUCAAAAGACAUUCGCUUUAAUAAAUAUUGAUUUUUAACAAAAACAUUUUAUUUCUUGAAAGUUGACAGAUACUUUUCGUUUCUUUUCUUAAAGACAAUUAAAUACAACAAGCUUUGUGGAAAGAAAACAUUGGCAAAAUUCAGUUAACUAUAAAUAUAGCCAACCUCCUGAAAGGAAUAUUAUGAAGACUAACAAAGUCAGAAACAAGCAAAUGCACAGUGGUUAUUAUUCCAGUCCAAAUUAUGAUUACAAUUGUGUACAAUUUCCUAGUCAAAACCAAUUUCUUAUUUGUUCCCAAUUCCGGAUAGAAACCUUAAAGUAAAUUACAAGUAUGAGCUAAGUUUUCUUUGCCAGUAGUGUUUGGCAAACAAUCGCCUUGUGAUCACUGUAGAUGAUCAAUUUAAUUAGAUGUCAGAAUCAAUGAACCACAGGCGAGUGAGGUGAAUUGCAACCAUGAAGUCUAACCCUUUUUCCAAGGCAAAGAUACACUGAAUUUGAGGUGUUUAUUGUUUUAGCUUUCCAUGAUUUAAGACUAUCAUCAGAAGGCAUAGCCUUCUCUCUUUAGAAUCUACAGUUCUGCAGUGCCUACAAAUUGUAAAUGACAUGUGAAGCUUUCACAAAUUUGCUCUGAGUUAUUAGGUAUAUAAUCCAAGCCCAUGUGGAACUUUCCCUUAUGGAACUCCUCAGGGCUGAGCGCUCCCCACAUAUUUGCCAGCAUGACUGAACUGGGGUUGUACAGAGAAGUGAGGGCCUAGAAAUGUAAUGGAUGGACUUUAGCCACAACCUGUCUGAUAUGAGCACACAAUUCCAGAGUCGGUAAGUCAGGCUGAUUAAUGGAAGUGAGCAGCUCAGAAUAAGUGGCAGUUCAAAGACAAUAAAUCUCGCAGUGUAGCCAAGCUCUAGCCCAUUCUUUUUUUUUCAUGGAGUCUCUCGCUCUGUUACCCAGGCUGGAGUGCAGUGGCGCGAUCUUGGCUCACUGCAACUUUUCGCCUCCCGGGUUCAAGUGAUUCUCCUGCCUCAGCCUCCCGGGUAGCUGGGACUACAGAUGCACACCACCAUGCCCGGCUAAUUUUUUGUAUUUUUAGUAAAGACAGCAUUUCGCCUUGUUAGCCAGGAUGGUCUCCAUCUCCUGACCUCGUGAUCCACCCGCCUCGGCCUCCCAAAGUGUCAGCAUUACAGGUGUGAGCCACCGCGCCUGGCCUUAGCCCACUCUUUUGAAGAUGACAGGGAAGCAAAUAUGUGGCACAGUGAAGACUGUGAGAAAUAGAACUGUCUCAGACAAGUGUGCAUACUCCAAAUACAAGUACAGAAAACAUCCAAGACUACUAACAGAAAUCAGGAAAAAUAUCAAAUCAGAACAUGGAACACUGCAACUUCUCAUUUUAGAAAAAGACAAUGUAGUUAUUUGAAGUAAAAACACUUCCAAAUUUUCAAUGUAUUGUUUUAAAACAUGAAUGCACUGAAGACAAAUAUAAGGAUUUAACAAAAAAUCUCAAUCUGAUUCCAGAGAGCUGAACUUUCUUGGAGAAAUUAACAAUUGAAAGAAUAUUCUAUCAAAGAUAUGUCUAAUUUUAAAAUGCUGAAGCCCAAAGACAGAUUAUAUCCUAAAAUGAAAUGAGCUAUACUUCUUUUUGUCUUGAGGGAGGAAAAGUUUUUCAGAGAUGAGAAUCUUUUCUGAAAAAUUACUAUGUGUAAUGUUCAAAUAGCACACACACAUGCAUACCUGCUAACUGCUUUUUUGUUGAUCUUGGCUUCUCCAAAUGCUAUGAUGAUAUAAUAAUCCAUAUGGGGAAAGAGGAUCUUCAGUUUCUUUACAUUCUGAACUGGGAUUGAUAGAUUUCAUUUGGCUUCCCCAACACUGAUACUGGGAGAUGCAAACUUUCAGCGGAAGUGAUCUGGUUGAAGGGGCAGAAUGCAACACUCAGCACUAGCUGAAACACGUUAACCGUGUACAAGGCCAGAAGCCUGGGGAUAUUGGAAAGCAGGAAGACCGGAAGUUCGGACUUUGCCAAGCCUGUGGCCCUCUCCCUCUCUUCCCAGACAAUGAUGUAUCCUGUGAUUACUGGGAGUCAUAGAUGGGAGGUUGGUAGGGUCUCCCCUCAGACACAGAGAAUAAA